GACGAACGCUGGCGGCGUGCUUAACACAUGCAAGUCGAACGGAAAGGCCUCUUUCGGGGGGUACUCGAGUGGCGAACGGGUGAGUAACACGUGAGUAACCUGCCCUUUACUUUGUGAUAACUUCAGGAAACUGUGGCUAAUACCGGAUAUGAGCUCCUGCUGCAUGGUGGGGGGUGGAAAGUUUCUGCGGUUUGGGAUGGACUCGCGGCUUAUCAGCUUGUUGGUGGGGUAGUGGCUUACCAAGGCUUUGACGGGUAGCCGGACUGAGAGGGUGAACGGCCACAUUGGGAAUGAGAUACGGCCCAGACUCCUACGGGAGGCAGCAGUGGGGAAUAUUGCACAAUGGGUGGAAGCCUGAUGCAGCCAAGGCGUGUGCGGGAUGACGGCCCUCGGGUUGUAAACCGCUUUCGCUCAUGACGAAGCUUUGUGUGACGGUAGUGGGUAAAGAAGCACCGGCUAACUACGUG
RNAcentral lists this ribosomal RNA (467 nucleotides) under uncultured bacterium. Its description in RNAcentral is "partial 16S ribosomal RNA". It matches the Rfam family "Bacterial small subunit ribosomal RNA", at positions 28 to 507 of the family's 1533-position model. The record is from RNAcentral.